CAGCCGCCGCGGGAAAACGGAGGGUGCAAGCGUUAUCCGGAUUUAUUGGGUUUAAAGGGUCCGUAGGCGGAUCUGUAAGUCAGUGGUGAAAUCUCACAGCUUAACUGUGAAACUGCCAUUGAUACUGCAGGUCUUGAGUAAAUUUGAAGUGGCUGGAAUAAGUAGUGUAGCGGUGAAAUGCAUAGAUAUUACUUAGAACACCAAUUGCGAAGGCAGGUCACUAAGAUUUAACUGACGCUGAUGGACGAAAGCGUGGGGAGCGAACAGGAUUAGAUACCCCAGUAGUCCCUGUCUCUUAUAA
RNAcentral lists this ribosomal RNA (301 nucleotides) under uncultured bacterium. RNAcentral describes it as "partial 16S ribosomal RNA". It matches the Rfam family "Bacterial small subunit ribosomal RNA", at positions 509 to 809 of the family's 1533-position model. The record is from RNAcentral.